UUUUCAACUUCAACACAACUGUCUGAAACAGAACUGAAGCCGCAGGUUUGACCGCACAAAGAACACAUUAAACAACACACGAAAGUCACCUGCAGCAACAGGAAGCGGCCUAUAGCGGCUCGACUCACCUGAGCUCGAGAAACACCUUCUGGACGAGCCCGCAAGAAAAAGCUCCCUUCUGUUGGGUGGAAGCGUUUUAUUCUGAAAGCCGGAAAUGCGAGCCGAGUGGUUUACGCUCUGCCUGUGACGUCAGGACGCAGGCAGUCAAAGACAGUUUGUUGUGAAGAUGAGUCACUCUCUCAAACAUUAAACACCGUCUCUGUGCUGGAUUCCAGCGGCAGUGUGUUCUUGCAUUUCACCACACCUUUCUUGGGAACUUUCCCCGGAGACCGAGACCCUUCUGCUGGACUCAGGAGAGACUAAUUAUAGUUUCUGUUCUCUACUUCCAGCUGUCGAGAAAAGACUGAUUUCUCCAGUGUGUACCCACAGGAAAUUGUGCCUCCUGAUUUCAGUGACUUGGCCGCGCUGCACUUUUCAUUUCGAGAUUGAAGCUUUUGAAGCAGACUGGACGAACAGGUUCACCUCUACUGUCUUUAUGAGAGGGAGGAACAUUUGUCACUUCCGGCCGCCAUCCUUGUUCCGAGCUGAAAUACGAUGCAGAUAAAUAUCUUUGACUUACUGGACUAACUGUUGAUCUGAUCAGCUGGAGCUCAGAAGCUGCAGGAUCAUCCUCAUCAUCAGCCCCCCCCCGUUGCUUUUUGGCGGAAACAGAUCGGUGUCCGGGGCUCGAAGUUGUGCUGGAGACCAAGCGGAGUUUUAACGGACCCCUCCACUUCAGGCUGGUGAAGGACCGGAACGUAGCAACUCUGGACUACUACUUCGCCCUGGCCCACACGGUCCGGGACCAGCUUGUGGCCCGCUGGAUCCGCACCCAGCAGUACACUAACGAGAAAGACCCCAAGAUGGUGAUCCGCAACAUCGCUGCCUCUGGAAAGUUCUCCAGCAACCGGACCAUCUCCCUGUACGCUCAGAGUCAACCAUCAGGCGUGAAGAUCUCAUCGUCCAAUGAACCGCUGUUUGAGUCCUGAUCCACCACAGAACACCCAAAAACUGGAACUUAGGUCGCUCAGAGGACGACGCAACUCUGAGACAGCUCCUCUGAGCCGAGUGCUAGUUUCAAUUUAUCCCAAAUGAUGAUGAUGGUGGUGAUGAUGGUGGUGGUGAUGAUGGUGAUGGUGAUGAUGAUGGUGAUGAUGGUGGUGGUGAUGAUGGUGAUGGUGAUGGUGGUGAUGAUGGUGAUGGUGAUGGUGAUGGUGAUGAUGGAGGUUUUGUUGCUGGUACCUGAGGAUGUUUGGCAGCUCUGGGCUCCUGUAGAUGAACUUGUGCUUGUAGGCCAGCGAGGAGGGGAAAGGAACAAACUGGACUUUGUGACCGCUGAGGCUCUUCGACUGGGAGGCCAUGUGGUACAGCUGCAGGAGGAAGAGGAGGA
RNA transcript from Chelmon rostratus (copperband butterflyfish), 1489 nucleotides. It is a transcript of the gene named glycogen phosphorylase, liver form-like, with no coding region annotated. Lineage: Eukaryota; Metazoa; Chordata; Actinopteri; Chaetodontiformes; Chaetodontidae. The record is from RefSeq and is a predicted model, not a curated record. The transcript has 4 exons.